Molecule: ribosomal RNA, 464 nt
Filed under: Vreelandella stevensii
Lineage: Bacteria; Pseudomonadati; Pseudomonadota; Gammaproteobacteria; Oceanospirillales; Halomonadaceae
Description: partial 16S ribosomal RNA
Rfam family: Bacterial small subunit ribosomal RNA
Source: RNAcentral
CCUACGGGGGGCUGCAGUGGGGAAUAUUGGACAAUGGGGGCAACCCUGAUCCAGCCAUGCCGCGUGUGUGAAGAAGGCCCUCGGGUUGUAAAGCACUUUCAGUGAGGAAGAACGCCUGGUGGUUAAUACCCAUCAGGAAAGACAUCACUCACAGAAGAAGCACCGGCUAACUCCGUGCCAGCAGCCGCGGUAAUACGGAGGGUGCGAGCGUUAAUCGGAAUUACUGGGCGUAAAGCGCGCGUAGGUGGCUUGAUAAGCCGGUUGUGAAAGCCCCGGGCUCAACCUGGGAACGGCAUCCGGAACUGUCAAGCUAGAGUGCAGGAGAGGAAGGUAGAAUUCCCGGGGUAGCGGUGAAAUGCGUAGAGAUCGGGAGGAAUACCAGUGGCGAAGGCGGCCUUCUGGACUGACACUGACACUGAGGUGCGAAAGCGUGGGUAGCAAACAGGAUUAGAUCCCUAGUAGUC